UACGAAGGGUGCAAGCGUUACUCGGAAUUACUGGGCGUAAAGCGUGCGUAGGUGGUUUUUUAAGUCCGUUGUGAAAGCCCUGGGCUCAACCUGGGAAUGGCAGUGGAUACUGGAAGCUAGAGUGCGGUAGAGGGUAGUGGAAUUCCCGGUGUAGCAGUGAAAUGCGUAGAGAUCGGGAGGAACACCAGUGGCGAAGGCGGCUACCUGGACCAGCACUGACACUG
RNAcentral lists this ribosomal RNA (224 nucleotides) under uncultured bacterium. Its description in RNAcentral is "partial 16S ribosomal RNA". It matches the Rfam family "Bacterial small subunit ribosomal RNA", at positions 524 to 748 of the family's 1533-position model. The record is from RNAcentral.